AAGGAGAGAACACUUCAAAAGUUCAAAACUUUACUUAUCGAACAAAAAACAAGAAGGAAAAGUUCAAAAUUUUUCUCCGACACCCAAUCGGACUUUUCACAUUUUCUAACGCUCUCCCCGUGCAGCGAAGACCAAUUAGAAAAGAACCACUUUCUCCGCACACGUCUUUGGCCUCUGGAUUCUCUCACUUUCUUGCCGCCCAAACACCCUCGGUCCCAAACCAAAGUUUUCUGUGAAGCGUCUUUUGGGUGAAUUAGGACGGAGACCCUUCGUUAGCUUAGUUGAAGCAGACAAGAGGGAUAAAUAAUGCCGAACUGGGAGCUCAAGAAUUGUUGCAAGCAUGAUCAGGUCGUUUUCUUGGCCUGCAGCGGUGUGUUUACCCUUGUAAUCCUCGCGCUUUGGAGGACAGUACUAUUGACACCUUUUAAGCUCAUCACCGUGUUCCUGCAUGAAGCAAGUCAUGCAAUUGUUUGCAUACUAACGUGUGGCAAGGUAGAGGGAAUGGAGGUUCAUGCAAAUGAGGGUGGGGUAACACAAACUCGUGGUGGGAUUUACUGGCUGAUCUUGCCUGCUGGAUAUCUUGGUUCGUCAUUUUGGGGAUUGGUCUUGAUACUUGCAUCUACACAUAUCAUGACCGCAAGAAUUGCUGCUGGUUGUCUUGCGCUUGCUCUGUUGGUUGUGCUCUUUGUUGCUAAAAAUUGGACACUUCGAGGACUUUGUAUUGGAUUCAUUAUUUUCCUUGCUGUAAUAUGGAUUCUGCAAGAAAAAACAACUGUCCGUAUUCUUCGCUACGUCAUUCUCUUCAUUGGAGUGAUGAACAGUUUGUUUUCAGUUUACGAUAUUUAUGAUGAUCUAAUAUCUCGAAGAGUUCACUCCAGCGAUGCUGAGAAGUUUGCAGAAGUUUGCCCCUGCCCUUGUAAUGGGUUUGGAUGGGGAGUAAUUUGGUGAGCUUCAUAGCAUGCCAAGAGCAUGAAUAUCCUAGCAUAAACAGGAAAAAAAGGGGAAUGAUAUCAUUUAUAUUUCUUUGUGGAUCCAUGUAUCUUGGACUCGUAAUCUUGUCUUGAGGUUCAGAGACGACGGUUCAAACUAUGCUUGAUGUAGAGAACGCAGUGCUCACCUAUUCUUUGUAAUUCUUCAAUGAUUAUGUAUACUCAAUACUGUUCAUGGACUGCUUCUCUAUUCAUCUGAUAGCAAGAGCGUGGCCUUGCUAAUCCUUAUUCCAUGGCUUUAUUCUUUUAGCCCUUUCUUCUUGAGGGUUGUAAACUUGUAUACAUACAUGAAAGUUCUAUGUAGGAUAAUUUCUUUUGAUGCA
RNA transcript from Carya illinoinensis, 1312 nucleotides. RefSeq lists it as uncharacterized. The transcript is spliced from 10 exons. NCBI's taxonomy places the organism in Eukaryota, Viridiplantae, Streptophyta, Magnoliopsida, Fagales, Juglandaceae. The record is from RefSeq and is a predicted model, not a curated record.